GAUGAACGCUAGCGAUAGGCUUAACACAUGCAAGUCGAGGGGCAGCACAAGGUAGCUUGCUAUCUGGGUGGCGACCGGCGCACGGGUGCGUAACGCGUAUGCAACUUGCCCUAUACAGGAGGAUAACCCGUCGAAAGACGGACUAAUACUGCGUAUGCUCACAACUUGGCAUCAAGUGGUGAGGAAAGAAAUUCGGUAUGGGAUAGGCAUGCGUCCCAUUAGCUUGUUGGUGAGGUAACGGCUCACCAAGGCAACGAUGGGUAGGGGAACUGAGAGGUUUAUCCCCCACACUGGUACUGAGACACGGACCAGACUCCUACGGGAGGCAGCAGUGAGGAAUAUUGGUCAAUGGGCGCGAGCCUGAACCAGCCAAGUCGCGUGAAGGAUGACUGUCUUAUGGAUUGUAAACUUCUUUUAUACGGGAAUAACAAGAGUCACGUGUGACUCCCUGCAUGUACCGUAUGAAUAAGCAUCGGCUAACUCCGUG
RNAcentral lists this ribosomal RNA (487 nucleotides) under uncultured bacterium. Its description in RNAcentral is "partial 16S ribosomal RNA". It matches the Rfam family "Bacterial small subunit ribosomal RNA", at positions 28 to 507 of the family's 1533-position model. The record is from RNAcentral.